CUAGCUGUAAACGAUGCUGACUGGGUGUCGGCGAUUAAAAACCGUCGGUGCCGUAGCUAACGCGUUAAGUCAGCCGCCUGGGGACUACGGCCGCAAGGCUAAAACUCAAAGGAAUUGACGGGGACCCGCACAAGCAGCGGAGCGUGUGGUUUAAUUCGAGGCUACGCGAAGAACCUUACCAGGGUUUGACAUGCAAGUAGUAGUGAAGCGAAAGUGGAACGAUCCUUCGGGAAGCUUGCACAGGUGA
This 247-nucleotide ribosomal RNA is filed under the name uncultured bacterium. RNAcentral's name for it is "partial 16S ribosomal RNA". It matches the Rfam family "Bacterial small subunit ribosomal RNA", at positions 796 to 1041 of the family's 1533-position model. The record is from RNAcentral.